CGUGUUGUUAUUCCGAGCUGUUUAUGCGGCUGCGAAAAUGUGUGGGGCUGUGCUUUGAUGCUGCCUUUGAUUUUGAGUUGAGGCGAAAAGAACUUAUGAGGCGUUUGGAUUAUGGAAUUUGCGUUUUGAGGAUAUGGGCGCAGAAGUUACGAAGAGUUUAUUUAUUUGUUGUUG
Non-coding RNA from Arachis ipaensis, 174 nucleotides. The record is from RefSeq and is a predicted model, not a curated record. Lineage: Eukaryota; Viridiplantae; Streptophyta; Magnoliopsida; Fabales; Fabaceae.